Long non-coding RNA from Gallus gallus (chicken), 2810 nucleotides. Lineage: Eukaryota; Metazoa; Chordata; Aves; Galliformes; Phasianidae. The record is from Ensembl.
UUGGAGGCUGCCUCCUUUGGAGUGUUUGGUGAGCUCUGACUCUUAGGAACAGUUUGUUUGAGUCAUGGAGUUGUUAGGAUCUACUGGAAUAUUCCCUACAGUCUGUAUUUACUUUCCAGAGGGAGCAUACUAUAAGGCUGUAACCAGAUGAGCCGUGUGUACUUUUAUGCUUUUUGCUUUCAGAACUCAGAGACUGCAGUUUUUGAUGGUAUUUUCUGUAUUAUCUUCACCAUGCAGUUGACUGAGCCAUACUGAGUACCAAAGGCACGUUACUUUCCAUGGGAGAUUUGGGACUGUACAUCUGAGCUGGGGUAAUUCACUUGGGUAGACUUCAAUGUAACCACAGAAAAGCACAAAACUGAAGCUUCCUUGUGAAAAGAGUAUGUUAAUGCUUUUGAAGCUUUUAAUUUUGUGUUUGUGUAAUGAAUUUGAAAGAAAUGACACAUGUAUGGAAUAUAAUGAACUUGAGAGAAGCAAAGUGAGCUGUUAAAAUUCAGGUGUGUGCUUACUAGGAAGACAGUGGCUUUUUGGGGUUCUGUAUUCUCCCCUGUUGUAUCUCUGGUGGCAUUCCUGGAGCUGUCCCCACACACCAGCUGUAAUACAGCCUACAGGACUACUUGUUCAGGUCAGCAGAGAGGAUGUUGUGCUGAGCAGCACUCAGGGACUUCUUUGUGGUUGGACCCUUUUAGGUUUCUUUCAUUAUGCCAAGAAAACUGUUAAAUUCAUUAAACACCACCAAGAAUGUUGACAGGAGCACUGUCAGUCAUGUCCUCAUGGACUCUUAUGCCUACAUAGUUUGCUGUGCUCUCUUAAAUUUUUUUCAAUUGAAAAUGAGGUCUGGUACAUCGAUUUGGGUUCAUCGUGAUACAUGUAAGUUUACCUCUGUGCGCAACCAUAUGGACAUGCAGUGUUUUACCAAACAACUGCAAAGGAAGUCUGCAAAUUGGAAUCACUAUCCUAUCUCCAGGGAAGACUACAAUUGUCAAUUCUCUGUCAGCUAAUUGAAAAUAAUGAAAUGUAAGUUACAAACAGCAGCAAAAUUGUAUGAGUCAUUCUAUUUAUACUUGUAAUUACGUCUAAAGGUCUGAGUGUCUUUAAAUUGAAAGAAGAUUGGUUCUGUCAGGUGCUUAACAAGAUUUUCUUGGAAAGGGUCUUUCUAGAGAAAGCACUGUAGAAACCAUCUUUGUCAGCAAAGCGUAAACAGCUUGACACCGUAUGCCAAAAUUCAAGUGAGGUAAUGCUGCAAUGCACUUGUGCACAUUGUUUCAACAAGCAGAUGUAUGUGGCCAAGAUAGAGAGUGACUGCCUCAUGAUGCUAAUUCCCUCUACUUCAGUUACUGUGCGUUAGCUCAAAGUGGAGAUGGAAAAUGCUGAGGGCGGGUGGGAUCUUCUCUUUUCUACUUUCUCUGAAUCUCUCAGAAGGCCUUGGGGCUCUGGAAGCUUGUAAGUAGGAUGCAUUACAUAUCAAUAAUGCAUAAAGCACAAUUAGCACAUGUGGUUCUUUGCAGGCAUGUAUCUCAUUCUCAGCUCCAAACAUCAGCACAGUGCUACGCAAGGGACAGGGAGGAACUGCAUCAUAAACACACACAAAAAAAGUAUUGAUGCAUUAUUGAACAAUUUAGUUCAGCAAGUCUACUCUGUACAGAUUUGAAAACAAAAAAUGCUCUGUGGAUAUUUGUCCAAAUAAAGUAAUGGGACUAUGAGAAUGGAAACAAAGCAGCUAAGGGACCUGGUUUUUGUUUUUUGAGUUAUUGUUUAAAGUUAAAACUUAUAGGAAAUAGAUUGUGUAUUGAUGGCAAAACAAAUCUGUUAAGACCAGUGCUAAAGCAGAGCUAAGUCACUGUGUUGUCUCUUGGUAGAGACAGCCAGGAUCUCUGCCCUGAAGUACAUAUGUCCUUUCUUUAUUCUCUGGGGCAUCUCAGUGUGCCAUUCUUCUAUGCAGUAAGCUGUUGAUUGCAUAUUUUGGAAAUAGUGCAGAAUUUCUUUUUGGGGGAAAAAAAUACAGUGAAUCCAGAAGGGAAAAAUCAAAAAAACAAACACCAUAAAAAUGGGGGAAAUUCAAAGAAAUACAAAGAUGAAAAGAAUGCUGUGGUGGCUAUAAUGUCAAAUACAAAAACAGUAUAAAAUGAACCUUCCACAUGAAGGAGUAUAACACUGAAUAACCUGUACUUCCCAUUACUUCCCAGAAGUCCUGAGUUUUACAGACAUACGGUAAUAGUGAGUGUCAGGAGGCUGAUGUAUGACUUAUUUUUGGGUGUCCAUUAUAUUAUGGUGAUUUUUACUAACAUCCAAAGUGCUUUAAAGCUCUGCUAGCUGGCAAUGUAAUUCAUGGUGCAUCUUAAAUAUUCACUUGUGGAGGUCUGGUAUUGGAUGUUCCUGUUCAUAUAACAUGAAUUCUUAAUGCUUUUCAAAUAGCUGAAAUGUGGUACUUUAUUAUGGCAGUUUAUAUAAUAGAUGUAAUAGAUAUGUUGUGGAGCAUGCUUUUAAUGUCCAUUAUUGUGCUUAGGAGUAUAUGUGUUACAUUACCGAUGUAAUUUGUCAGUCGUAGCACAGUGUUGCUCUAAAAAGAUGGUGAAAGACUGUCAAGACCACAGUUACCAACUGUAGCUCUUAUAUUAUGUCUGUUGAACAGAUAGAUAAGCAAAUUCAUUAGUAAAAAGUAGCACAGUGACAAGUUGUCAUAUGAUUAUUUGUACUAUUCUGUUAACUAGAUUUGAUUUUUUUUUUGCUAAGAAAGUAUCCAGCUGCUUAAAUGUCUAUUUGAAAUGUGAAUUUCUUCAGUGCAUGAGAAAUACAAUGCAUGUUACUUU